This is a long non-coding RNA of Xenopus laevis (African clawed frog), 1827 nucleotides long. RefSeq lists it as uncharacterized. Lineage: Eukaryota; Metazoa; Chordata; Amphibia; Anura; Pipidae. The transcript has 2 exons. The record is from RefSeq and is a predicted model, not a curated record.
UGGCAGAAUGAAAUUCCCUAGAUGAGAUAGUGGCCCACCUGCAGGGGCUCUACAGAGAAGUUGCAGGCGCCACAGAUCUGCACACCAAGUUCUUUAUGCAGAGAGUCAGAGAGAGAGUACUGAUGCAGUGGCAUUUCAGGCACUCUGGAGCAAGCUAACCAAGGUGGACCAUCUAAGAGGAGGGGGAUUCCCUGGACAGAAUUGAGGAGACUCAGGGCCAUUCUGAUGGGCAGCUGGAGGGAUGCUAUCCAGUGCAGUCCACCUGCAAUCAGAUGCUUGCCAGGUUUACAGAUUACAAACUGUAAGAGUGUUGAGGGAUGUAAGCUAAUGGUGUUGUUUCUUCCACAGCAAGCCAUUAUACUGGAGUGGGCCAGCUGGUCACUCAGAAGCAGAUGUCCAUGUAGCAAUAUGGUGAAAUAUGUUGAGAAUUAAUGUGUUGUUUAUAUUGCAAAUGUUUAAGGUGAAUCAGGCCCCUCCCAGAUUUGCACAACUGCGACUAUUUUCCACUUGCUCCUGGGGGCCACGGUGCUGCUGCUGCUCCUGUUGGUUGCACUGCUGUUGAUUUUUGGGGGUAGACGUUGGAGCAGGAGAUUUGACACCACCAGGAUGGAUGGUCAGAAGGGCCACAGGGGACUUUGGGCAAAUAUGGCUGAUCCCCAUGUAAAUGGGGGCGCUGACACUGAGGAGACGGAGCCAAUGGGUUUGGACCAGUACGAAGAGACCAAAGCAUAAAGCUCACCCACUGUUCCAGUUCUGCCACUAACAGGUUCCCCAUACGGCCCAGUGAGCUCAAUGCAUUUCUGAUCACGUUUUAUAGAAGUUACUAUUUCUUCCUCCUCCUCCUGGAAAUGAUUUGCCCCACAGAACCCCCCCCCCCCCCCCAUUCGUCUUUGCGUCCCACUUAACUUGCUGCAAUAGGACCAGGAGGCUGCUGCUGCUGCCUUGGGGUUUUCUGCAAUACUGUCCUUAGAAGGAGGGCGGCCAUUUUCCCCUCAUUAGGUUUUGCUGUGGGCGAGGCAAUGAGCGCAGGGACUAAAGAGGAAGUAAAGGUGGCCAUACACUGAGAGAUAUCCAAACAAGCCGAUCUCUCCCCGAUAUGCCCACCUUGAGGUGGGAGAUAUUGGGCUGAUCCGAUCGUGGGCCAUAGGUCGGUCCGACAGAUUUUUAGGGAUUUUUAGUCCUGUCCGAUCGACAUCUGGCCAACUUUCGGCCAGAUAUCGAUCAGGGAAGCCCGUCGGAGGGACCCAUACAUGGGCCGAUAAGCUGCUGACACCCUUUUAGUCUGUCUAACUCUAUGCAAUCAGACAAUCAGGUGGGGGGGGGGGGGCAAGAGGAGGAAUUAGAGAAGGAGCAGGUUUUCUGCUUCCCAUGUUUCUUGUGACUCCUUGUUAUAUGCCAAGUACAUGGAAAUGUCCAUGCCCACCACCACAGGUCCCACCCUAGACCCCCCACACUGCAGUGAAAAACCCAUUGGUGGCCAGGGCCCCCCGUUACAAGUUAAAAAAAAAGAUUGGUGGUCAUUGGCCUAUAGAGCAGGGCCGUAACUAGGGCAGGCAGUAAAGGCACCCACCUAGGGCACAACAAUAGGGGGGUGCUGUGCAGGUACCUGUUCUGUAGUCACUUCCCUCUGCUGCUCAAUACUCUCCUCUGCCGUUUCCCCUCUGUCACUGCCCCCAUGAUGUCACAGUGUGGGGAGGGGAGCAAGGUUGCCGGCCAGGUUGCCUAGGGGCCGGUCGGCUUGGCCCGUCCCAGCUAUAGAAGAUUAAAAUAAUACAUUGAUAGCCAGGGGUUUAAUAAAAUAAAAAAACACAUUGAUGUUUAGUGGAA